AGAGAGAGAGAGAGAGGGAGGGAGAGUUGAGUGUAUUAUGUUUGCCACCAAAUUAGCCUUUCUCAUGGGACAGCGAAAGAAAUCCUUGGUGCCUCUCAAAGACUUCAAGUGGGUCAUUCUUUGUUGUGGCCCUACUUCUCUCCCACUUGUUGAUGAUCUCUGCUGUCAGUCUCUUCCUCUGUUGUCAUCUUCUCCUUUUACCCAAACCAACCCCCAAAACAAGUAAACAACAGUCCUUCUUUCCUUUCUGUGUGCUAUUCUUCUCUGUACCCAAACAAAGACCUAGCUUUUCAUAUCCUAGAAACUGUGUUUGUUGGUAUGAAUCUGCUGGUCGGAGGUGAUUGUAAAUCUAGUUUGAUUCUGGUAUUACUUUGACUCAUUGUUGUUGUGGAAUUUGCGAAUGGGUAUUCGUUGUUCUGUGUAAAGAAGUGUGUUAUUUUUCAGUUCAAGCAUCUGGGUGUUCUUGAAAUUGGAAAAGCUGUACUGGGAAUUACCUGAAAUGGUUGUUUUUGGAUUUUUGAUUUGAUGGAUUGAUUUGGGGUUACUCAUUAGGUGUAAAGCAGAAAGGGCUGUUUCAAUUGGUUUAGAUUUAUUAUUUUGUAUAUUGUUUAGUGAUUGAGAUUUCAUGCUUGGUCCAAGACAAUGGAGAGGUUUAUGGCCAGAUUUUUUCUUUUUUAGCAUUGAACACUGUAGCAGCUCAGUGAAGUAUUAUGAAGAAUCUUCUCAAAAAGUUCCAUAUGAUGUCUAAUCAAGCAGAGGAUACGGAGGGUUCACCUUCUUCAAGAGGCAGUAAAUCCAAUGAGACACCACUCAGUGAUAGAUUUGUGCCUUCUAGGUCUCACCAGAACCCUGAGCAAAAACCCUUUUCGGGUCUUUCUAAUUGGUUCACUUCAGUUACUCAUAGGAAAAGUCCUAGCCCACCAUCUUCUUCAAAUGUUACAAGAGGAGAGAAAAUGGAACCAUCUGAUUCAGUCAGCACUAGUGGUUUAGAGGUUGCUCCGGAGGCAGUGACGCAAGAUUCGGGGUCUAGCAACUCCAGGGAUCCUGAUUUAGAGGAGGAGUUUCAGAUACAAAUGGCUCUGGAGUUGAGUGCAAGUGAGGAUCCUGAGGCAGUUCAGAUUGAGGCUGUUAAGCAAAUUAGUUUAGGUUCUUGUGAUCCUGAGAAUACCCCGGCUGAAGUUAUUGCCUACCGAUACUGGAUUUACAAUGCUCUUAAUUAUGAUGACAAGAUCUUGGAUGGUUUCUAUGACCUGUAUGGUGUCUUGACUGAGUCCACUUCUGAAAGAAUGCCUUCCCUUAUUGAUCUGCAAGGAACACCAGUAUCCGGCAAUGUCACAUGGGAAGCAGUUUUGGUCAACAGGGCUGCCGAUGCCAACUUGCUGAAACUUGAACAGAAGGCCUCUGAGAUGGCAGUCAAGUCGAGGUUGGAAUCUCUAGUUUCUGUGAGCAGUGAUUUGGUGCGAAAACUUGCGGUUUUAGUUUCUGAUUACAUGGGUGGACCAGUUGGGGACCCUAGCAACAUGUCAAGAGCAUGGCGAAGUCUUAGCUACAGUUUAAAAGCAACCCUUGGUAGUAUGGUUUUGCCACUUGGUUCCUUGACGAUUGGAUUGGCUCGUCAUCGUGCCUUGUUGUUCAAGGUUUUAGCUGAUAGCAUUGUCAUGCCAUGCCGGCUGGUGAAGGGGCAGCAAUUCACUGGUUCUGAUGAUGUGGCAAUGAAUUUUGUAAGGGUUGAUGAUGGAAGGGAAUACAUUGUUGAUCUAAUGGCUGAUCCUGGAACUCUUAUUCCUUCUGAUGCGGCUGGAUCACAUAUAGUAUUUGAUGAUCUUUUCUUUUCCACCAGUCCUUUGUCUAGAGACAUUGACUCUUCUCGUGUAGCCUCUUCUAGCAGUGGGGUCGGGAGUUCAUUUGAAGAACAUUCAGAGCCUGGGACGUUGGAGAGGAGAUUUAGGUCGAAGAAUUUUUUCCCUGAAGGAAACCAAUCUGAAGAAACCAUUGAAUUUCGUAACUUUGCAAAUCUAACUAAGCCAAAUAAAGGUGAGGAAGGAUCUAAGACACCCUCAGAUUUGAAACAGUUUUCCACUGCUGAGAAGAUGUUGGUGCGAGAGCUUCCUAGCAGGCCCAAUUAUCCUCACGUGCAUGCAAGGUCGCCCUCAUGGACCGAAGGUGUUAGCUCACCCGCUGUGCUUAAAAAGAAAGCUAAAGAUGUUUCACAAUACAUGAUUGAUGCUGCCAAGGAGAAUCCGCAAUUAGCUCAGAAGCUUCAUGAUGUGUUGGUAGAGAGUGGUGUUGUUGCUCCCCCAAACUUGUUUUCUGAAAUUUACCCCGAGAAGUUAGAUGCAUUGACCUAUGAGGGAAAGAUUUCUUCUCAAGUUGCAUAUGGCUCUAAAGAGGGAACUGGAAAUCAAGAUACUAAGGAUCAAGAUGAUUUUGGCCCACCACGUUUUGUGCCUCCGCUGCCUCAUAGGGUGCGUUCUAAAACAAGUCCGUUUAGUAACCAAGCUGAGCAAUAUAAACCUGUUGAAGGCAUAGGGGUCAACCUUGCUUUUGAUAUAAGAGAAGGGACUAGACAACCUGUUAUAUCACAACAGUCUGAAAACUAUGUAAAAAAUGUCCCCGUUGCUGCUGCUGCUGCAGCAGCUGUUGUUGCAUCUUCAAUGGUAAUUGCUGUAGCAAAGGCAAACACCGACCCAAAUCUUCCUGUAGCAGCUGCUGCCACUGCCACUGCUGCAGCUGUGGUGGCAACAACUGCCGCUGUCAAUAAGCAGUAUGAGCAGGGCAUACGAAGUGAUGGAGAUGCUGAUAGUACUGGUAAUGAACCACAUGGUAGCAGAGAUCAGGAACGUGAUGCAUUGGCAGAACGCGAGAGAAUAGCAGAUAGAUUUGCGGGUUCCGAUAGCUCCAAAUCUGAUGUCACGCUUGAUGAUGUUGCCGAAUGGGAGAUUCUAUGGGAGGAUAUCACCUUGGGUGAGCGUAUUGGGCUUGGUUCCUAUGGAGAAGUAUAUCGUGGGGACUGGCAUGGGACUGAAGUUGCUGUAAAAAGGUUCUUAGACCAAGAUUUAUAUGGUCAAGCACUUGAAGAAUUUAGAAGUGAGGUCCGCAUCAUGAAAAGAGUCAGGCACCCCAAUGUUGUCCUCUUCAUGGGAGCAGUUACUCGUGCUCCAAAUCUUUCAAUUGUUGCAGAAUUUCUUCCUAGAGGUAGCUUAUACAGAUUACUUCACCGGCCUAACAAUCAAUUAGACGAGCGGAGGCGUCUGAGGAUGGCACUUGACGCUGCUCGGGGUAUGAAUUACUUGCACAAUUGCACUCCAGUCAUAGUACAUCGUGAUUUGAAGUCCCCAAAUCUUUUGGUUGAUAGAAAUUGGGUUGUCAAGGUAUGUGAUUUUGGAUUGUCACGGAUGAAGCACAACACGUUUCUAUCUUCAAGAUCAACAGCAGGGACGGCUGAGUGGAUGGCUCCUGAAGUGUUGAGAAAUGAACCUUCAGAUGAAAAAUGUGAUGUUUACAGCUUCGGGGUCAUAUUAUGGGAGCUCUGUACAUUACAACAACCAUGGGGAGGAUUGAAUCCAAUGCAAGUUGUUGGUGCAGUAGGAUUUCAACAUCGCCGACUUGACAUUCCAGAGUACAUGGAUCCUGCCGUUGCAGAAAUCAUUAGGCAGUGCUGGCAGACGGAUCCAAAAUUGAGGCCAACAUUUGCUGAGAUCAUGGCUGCUCUGAAGCCGCUGCAGAAGCCGAUAACAAGUUCACAAUUGCAUAGAACAAGUGCAUCCGCGAGUGGACAUGAUAGAGGACAGCAGUCGGAAGCAGCAGAAGACCUUGCAAGCUGAUAUAUCAAGCAUAAAAUAUUCUAAAUCUCGGAUUAUUUGUCAAAAUCCAGUGGGGCAAAUCGCCUUUACUGUUCGGAUCAAGUGUGAGAAAGUGAUUGGCACCUACUCUCUAUAAAUGUGCAGCAGUGGAAAUGUAGCUCUAAUGCUGAUGAGCUUCAAGAGCCAAAGACACGGUGCAAUGGAAACAGACUAUAUGCAACCUUGCGCUAAGAAACAGUGCAAUAGAAACCGAAUAACAGCAAUGAAGCCACAUCCACUUGUACAAGACAGUGAUUCUUGUGGAUUUCUCCUCCAGGCAAACAGUACCUAAAGAAAGUGAAGGAAAGAAAAUACCCACCAAUUAACUCCUAUCAAAGA
Molecule: RNA transcript, 4181 nt
Organism: Tripterygium wilfordii
Lineage: Eukaryota; Viridiplantae; Streptophyta; Magnoliopsida; Celastrales; Celastraceae
Gene name: probable serine/threonine-protein kinase SIS8
Exons: 14
Source: RefSeq, a predicted model, not a curated record